Bombus terrestris (buff-tailed bumblebee) is the source of this 5636-nucleotide long non-coding RNA. RefSeq lists it as uncharacterized. Lineage: Eukaryota; Metazoa; Arthropoda; Insecta; Hymenoptera; Apidae. The record is from RefSeq and is a predicted model, not a curated record. The transcript is spliced from 2 exons.
CGCUCCAUCGGUUUUUGCGAGAUCGUUGCACCAUCGAAAAGAUUCUGACGUUGGAGUGCAAGAGGUGGCGAGAAUCGAUGCUGUAUAGUACGACGGCUUGACUAUUGGUGUUCAUUAUCGGUGUUCAUUAGUAGUCGUAGAAUUUCUAGUUUGGCUUUUGGUUCGUUAGAACGCUGCCAAUCGAUUUUUGCGAGAUCGUUACACCAUCGAGAAGAUUUUGAUGUUGGAGCCUAAGAAGCGAGCUAUCGAUGCUGUAUGGUAUGGCUUGACUAUCGAUGUUUAUUAUUAUCGUUACGUUCAUUGGUAUUCGUAGAACUUUCAAGUUAAUUUUGGUUAAUUAGAACACGGUGCAUCAGUUUCCGCGAGAUCGUUGUACGCAGGCACAAGCUAAAUUUCAAUGAUGCUCUAAAACGUGUCAUUGGCCUCCCACGUUGUCAAAACAUCGUGUAGAUAUGUUUCUACUUGGGGGUAAACAUACUCGUUAAGAAACUCGAACCAGUAAUGAACAAUGCGAGUAUUCGGAGAAUCGUAAAACUAUCAAAGUGAUAAUUGACAAAAUAGAUAAACAAUACAAAUUUUACCAUCACCUUGAAGAAUACCAUCUAUCGAGAAGUUCGAAUAACGAAAAGCAAUUGAUGGUCGUGAAAACCCAAUGGACUAUCGAUAGUGUAAUAUACUUAUCGGUAUGUCAAACAACAUUGACACAAUUUCUUUUAUAUCUCCUAACGAAAACAAGCUGAUAUACAGCGUAGAAAAUACUUGCGCUUUUACAACAAUAAUAAUUUACUCGUCUAGCAAUGAAUUUAUUUAUUUCCAGUCUUGUAAUUUUGUUUACGAUAAAUGAAUAAAUAUUAAAAAUAGAAGGCUGUGAUUUGUACCGCGUAGAAGAGGAAUUAGCGUGUCUUUGCUGGUAGAAUAUCACGAUAAAAUUGCUUUUUAAGGGCUAACACGUGAUAAAAAAAAAAUUCACAUUUGCAUUUAUUGAACCAUGUGGGUCUAUUUUUUUUUUGUUUUCUUUUUGUUUGAGAAGUACUUUAUCUUCAGGUUGUUUGAUUCAUAAAUUAUGAGUCAGACAGGGAAGGUUGUUCUAAUCUGACAGAAAAAAUAUUGGCAUAUUCAAGCAGUGAUAUCUAAAUCUGGUGAAUACAUCCACACGUCGUAUAUUAUUCCUAAUACUACUAAUCGUAACUUGUAUAUCAUUGAAAAUAUCUUUCUGAUCACAGAUGAUUCUCGUAAUAUAAUGACCAGAUGCCGGACACCGUCAUAGGAAACAGUUCACCAAUUGCUCAUCGGCCAGAUACUUCUUCCAUAAGCAAACAAAAAUCGGCUAUACUGUAUCUCAAAAAUCGUCAUACGAUAUCAAAGAACAACUUUAUGGAAAGUAUUUGAUCGUUGUACAUCGACUGAUUAUUAAUAGACUGCGGCUCUUUAUAUAAUUGUCUUUUGAAACCCACGUAAAGAAAUAUUUUCCUAUUUUUUAUAUACAAUUUCCCUUCCUAUUUUUUAUAUACAAUUGUGCAUUCUCUGUAUUUUAAUAUUCACCUGCUAUUCAUUGCUAUCGAUUAUUAAUCAUAAGCCUCCUGCGUCGAUAAAUCAAGAAACAAACAUAACAUUUUUCAAAUUCUUGUUAAAAUGUGAAUUGCACGUUAAUCGAAAGCUUCUUUCAUAGUCGAAGUAUACUAUUCGUAAAAAAAAAUCGUCGAAUUCUAAAUUCUAAACAUCGGACCAGCGAAGUACGUUGGUCAGUGGAAGAGUUCGCGAACUAUUAAUAAAGCCUGGGCCUUUUGUCUUCAAGGUCGCGGAUUCGAUGAUAUCGAUGUCGCGGGUUUCCUACAAAAUAGUGGUAUAAAUACGCGUCGCGUUAGAAAAUAACGGCGCAGUUCAUGCUCGAUUCUCGCCCACCAGUUCGCGUUUCACGCGGAACUUUCCUGGCAUCAACGGAAACCGUUUCUGCCUGCGUGCAUCAUCGGCCGUUUCCGGGAGAGAGGAAAAUAAAAAAAAGCGAUGAUUUAGAGCCAGCGUGGUGGAAUUAGCGCGAAAAUAUCGCGUAAACGUUGGUUUAACGACAAAGAAGAGCAACGUUUAUGACAGCAUUCAAUACACGAACAAUAUGUCUCUGUCUCGUUCAGUGACUGUUGUUUGAUAAAUGUUCAAAACCAGUUUUAAAAACAUCUAUCCGCCACAGAAUCACCGCUAGCAAAUAUAUAUUUAGUCAGUGAAAUAUUUUGAACAAAUUCCACAUCAUAGACACGACUGUGUUACAACGAAGAAAAGGCUUAGAAACGAUUCUGUAACGUACAUUCUGAGAAUGAGAAUAUUUUUUUGACAAGAUUUCUACUCCUCUUUAAGCUUCCAUGGCCGAAUCUCGAGCUUCGAUGUUUAUCUGCUUGAUAACAGGGUUGAUAAGGAACUUGUUUUCCCAUUGAGAAAUAUAUUUGAUUUCGCGUGAUUAAAAAUUGAUAUUGAAUAAGUAUAGCGUACAGUUAUUCGACUGAUUUUGCUAAAUUUUGUAUUACUUGUUCGACACAAUCGAUUAUGCGUCCUUUGUGUCCUAUAGAGUUGUAUAUCGAAUCAACGACGUGAAGUUCAUGGCUCUAUACUACUUGUCUGACAGAGCCACUGACUCACAGCGACCUAUACUACUUAUUCGAUACAAACGAUGACGCACUGUAUGCGUCCUAUGAAACUUAGCGAUCACAAGACAUAAUGUUUAUGGCCUAAUACUACUUGUCUGAUACAGCCAUUGACGUACAACGUGCAAGCUAUACUAUUUGUUCGAUACAAACGAUGACGCACCCUAUGCGUCUUAUGAAAUUUAGUAAUCACGGGACACAAUGUUUAUGGCCCUGUGUUACUUGUCUGAUACAGCCACUGACGCACAGCGUGCGACCUACAUACUUGUUCGACACGAACGAUGACACAUUCUAUGCGUUCUAUAAAACUUGUAUAAUCGUAAGACGCAUUGUUUACGAUUCUAUACUAUUUGUCCAACACGACUACUGACGCACAGCGUGCGACCUAUGCUUCUUAAACGAUACAAACAGUGCAUAGUUAUUAAUCGUGCCAAUGAGAGAAAAUAAAUUUGAACAAAUGGAUACAAGUCAAGAAGUGAACGAAUUAUUGCGACAUACAACCUCACAUGUACUCUAGACAGAAUUCCAAUCUAAAAAUUGGUAAUUCUGUUUUAUAUUUUAAAUACCAUUUAGUAAUGUUCGUGAUAGGCAUACGAUGUAAAUUACAAUUAUAAAUACCCUGAAAUUAACCAAAACUAUCAUAUAACGAUCACUUGUGAACGAAAAAGAGUUAUCCGAUGAAUCUGGGAUCAAAUCCCUAAAGCAACUAGGAAGUGGAAAGAACAAAGGCCGCGAAGAAAGAAGAUGAACCGACCAUACCACUGCGAUCUCCAACUGUAUUUCUCCGCUCGACGUUCGCACGCGUGUUUAUCGUGGUCGUGCGUACGAGCCUGCCAAAUAUAACCAAGAAGCGUGAAACGCGUGCGCCACGAUCGCAUCGUAAGAGCAGAGGCGAGCUAGAAAGCUCGCGGCGGGCUAGUCGUCAGCCGGCUCGUUUAAAUGUUAACGCGAGUGGCUGGUUAACUAGCGCUUUACUCGCUUGCUCUUUGGCUGUUUCAUUGGCCCGUUCCAUGUCACCGUUGCUGCUGUCGCGCUAUGGCAGAGGGCCAACCGAAACAAGUACACGCGUAGGCGAAUCGCGUGUUAGGCUAAGUUCUGGCUUAGAGGUCUGUCGAACGAGACGCGCAAGAGACAACACGGAUAUCCUUGCUUUUCAUAGAUACCGAUAGUGGAGACACGCAGGAGGAGCGAGUUGUAUACGCGGGGGAUGAUUCGCCAGAUCUACGUUCGAGCGAAUGCAAUGUGGAAAAUUCGCGAGAAGAUAAUGGACUAACCGCAAAAAUCAAGGCGUGUGUAGGUAUACACCAUGUGUAGACAUCCUAUGUUCAUAUAUCUAUAUUCAUUAUAUCGUGUAUUGCAUUGUGUGCGCGUAUGACCACGUGUAGAUUUUUGUUAACUAUUCACGAACAGAAACCUUGUAUGACGCACAUCUGUAAAUAAAAGUCUGUAUAUGCCUCGUAGAAUUUUAUGAACAGUCUGUAGACAUUCAGAAACUUGAUGCGAUGUACAUCUGCGGACAAAAAUUUGUAUGCGUCUUUGCAUAGGAUUUUAUGAAUAGUCUGCAGAUAUAUAGAAAUUUAUAUUCACGUUUUGUAGAAUUGGUGUAUUUAAAUAAAAAGAUAAAGAUAUGUACACAAGUAUAACUUUAUAUAGUUUACACAAAAUUCACAUAUUUGUAAAUGUUUGUAUUGGCAUUGUUUACAGGUAUGCGUUCGUGCAUAAGGAUUCUGAUAUCUACAGGCAGCCUACAUGAAUUUCUAAAACAUGCACACGCAAUAUAUUAUAAUAUGCAGCACACGAUAUAAUAGUUCACGCGCAAUACUAUUUGCAAGUCUGUACACAUCUUGGUAACUGAACUUCCCAUCCCUUGCGUGUACGACAUUUACAAAAGAAGAAGAAAAAUUAGGACAAAUUACUCAUACUUUGGAACUUUUUGCUCCCGUUAAUUGCAGACUGCAGCGGAUGUGAUUAUUUAAAAUCAUUAUAGUUCUUUUUUUAGUACAACCUUUGUUAAACAUACAUAUAUAUGUUCUUCAUCUUUAAACACCUAGAUUCAACGAAUAUAUGAAACAGAUAUCCUUGAACCACCAUGUCUUCAAACCAUUAAUCUUUGAAUAAAAAGAAUAUUUUACCACCCAAAAAAUAAAGGAUAUUUAAAGUAUACUUAUGUCGGUAUAAACAAUCUCUAAAAUAUAAAUACAUACCAAUAAACAUCCUCAAAUUACAUUAUAUUAGUUAUCUAUCUAUUAUUAUAUUAGCUAUAUAUUAUAUUAUAUUAGCUAUCAAGUAUCUUUUUAAUCGAAAGAGUACCACAGUACCUGCUAUUGAGCGUGAUACUGUAGGAAAUGAGUGUUAGGGUAAAUAAGACCGCGGGGAAUGGUCGACAAUAAUCGAGACCGAUUUCUCUAAACAUCUAUCCGAGUUUUGUCCCCGUAAUAGUCUACGAUAUUAUCAGACGCGUGGAAAUGUGAUCUCAAAUAGUAUAUAACAAAAUGAAAUCUAAAGAUACAUCGGGCAGAAUAUAACGACGUCCGCGUCGGUUGUCGGCGCCAUUCGACUCACCUGACUUCUAGAAGAUGGUGAACGAUGCCUGUGUCGAUCCUGGCUAGUCGACGACGAGGCAUGGUGACGAUAGAUCCUUGCACGUCGAGAUGAAGUGGGAUGCGCCAAACGGUCACGAUCGCGAUCACGAUGUCCGCCGUGCUGGCGACCGCUACUCGGUGAUCGACGAUGACUUCGCUUGUACCGUCUUUCCUGGCUAGUUCCGCGGUCGUGCUGACGAGACCUCAGCACGCGCUCUCCACUGAAAUUGCCACUAAUUAGUCUUAGGUUUAUCACAGCCUCUGAAUUAGGCGUUCGUGUGAAUCUGUUCACUGCGAGAUAUUGGUCGUGAAUGGAAUAUCGACAGAAUAGAGAAAUUAAUGGAAUGGAUGGUGAUGCAGGAAAAUUGUAUGGCAAUUGAUGAUAAUGGAUGGUUCGGUGAUUUUUAAUAGAGAAAAUUUG